Molecule: ribosomal RNA, 180 nt
Filed under: uncultured bacterium
Lineage: Bacteria
Description: partial 16S ribosomal RNA
Rfam family: Bacterial small subunit ribosomal RNA
Source: RNAcentral
GAAACUCGCCUACAUGAAGCUGGAAUUGCUAGUAAUCACAGGUCAGCAUACUGUGGUGAAUACGUUCCCGGGCCUUGUACACACCGCCCGUAACACCAUGAGAGUUGAGAAUACCCGAAGCCCAUGUCAAAGUGGUCGAAGGUAGGCUUGAUGAUUGGGGUGAAGUCGUAACAAGGUAGC